CCCACAAGAAGCUAAGUGCUGGACAACUUUCUUUUGGUAGGGGAUUAAAAAAAAAAACAGGAGGCAAAUGAAUUCUGCCUGAUCACCUGCCCAGGCCUGUAGCACAGCUCCCUUCUGCCUCUGCUGACCAUCAGGUCUGUAACCAGAAAAGUGGAGGCCAACUCCAUUUCCUCAGAACCACAGCACACAAGGGCACAGGUGAAGACAGGAAGCAAAAUGCCAGACAGAAUAACUAGAUGGAGAGACUGUCCCAGGAACCUGAGUGC
This 266-nucleotide long non-coding RNA is filed under the name Chinchilla lanigera (long-tailed chinchilla). RNAcentral's name for it is "lncRNA (ENSCLAG00000022736.1)". The record is from RNAcentral. Lineage: Eukaryota; Metazoa; Chordata; Mammalia; Rodentia; Chinchillidae.